AAUCAACGCUGGCGGCGUGCCUCAGACAUGCAAGUCGAACGCUGCUGUUCGCCUUCGGGUGGACAGCGGAGUGGCGCACGGGUGAGUAACACGUAGGUAAUCUACCGUUUGGGUGGGAAUAACAGCCGGAAACGGCUGCUAAUACCGCAUAAUGCAGCGGCAUCACAUGAUGACAGUUGUUAAAGCGAGGGAUCGUAAGACCUCGCGCCUGAAG
This 214-nucleotide ribosomal RNA is filed under the name uncultured bacterium. RNAcentral describes it as "partial 16S ribosomal RNA". It matches the Rfam family "Bacterial small subunit ribosomal RNA", at positions 32 to 224 of the family's 1533-position model. The record is from RNAcentral.